RNAcentral lists this ribosomal RNA (497 nucleotides) under uncultured bacterium. RNAcentral describes it as "partial 16S ribosomal RNA". It matches the Rfam family "Bacterial small subunit ribosomal RNA", at positions 28 to 507 of the family's 1533-position model. The record is from RNAcentral.
GAUGAACGCUGGCGGCGGGCCUAAUACAUGCAAGUCGAGCGAACAGACGAGGAUCUUGCUCCUCUGACGUUAGCGGCGGACGGGUGAGUAAUACGUGGAUAACCUACCGAUAAGACUGGGAUAACUUCGGGAAACCGGAGCUAAUACCGGAUAAUAUAUUGAACCGCAUGGUUCAAUAGUGAAAGAGGUUUUUGCUGUCACUUAUAGAGGGAUCCUCGCCGCAUUAGCUAGUUGGUAGGGUGACGACUUACCAAGGCGACGCUGCGUAACCGACCUGAGAGGGUGAUCAGGCACACUGGAAAGAAGACACGGUCCCGACUCCUACGGGAGGCAGCAGGGGGGAAUAUUGGACAAUGGGCGAAAGCCUGAGCCAGCCACGCCGCGUGAGUGAAGAAGGUCUUCGGAUUGUAAAGCUCUUUAAGUAGGGAAGAAGGAAAGUAAAAGAAUACAUUCCUGUCUUGACGUUACCAACAGAAAAAGCAACGGCUAACUUCGUG